GGAUUGCAAAACCUUUCUGACAUUUUUGAAUGGAUUUCCACAUGAAGAAAAUAGCAGCCAAACAAGUUACUGAACGGCUGAGUAUUUACUCCUCUCAGCGCCGUUCCUUGCUUCCAAAACCAAGAAAACUUCCGCAUGCAUGCAUGCGCUGAAUUCUAAUAAUAGUAUGGUAAUCAUGAAAGUUCAGAAAAAAUAGAAUAUAUAGUUUAUUUAAA
Molecule: long non-coding RNA, 215 nt
Filed under: Elaeis guineensis (African oil palm)
Lineage: Eukaryota; Viridiplantae; Streptophyta; Magnoliopsida; Arecales; Arecaceae
Description: long non-coding RNA (EGUI_LNC069844)
Source: RNAcentral